RNAcentral lists this ribosomal RNA (468 nucleotides) under uncultured bacterium. Its description in RNAcentral is "partial 16S ribosomal RNA". It matches the Rfam family "Bacterial small subunit ribosomal RNA", at positions 28 to 507 of the family's 1533-position model. The record is from RNAcentral.
GACGAACGCUGGCGGCGUGCUUAACACAUGCAAGUCGAACGGAAAGGCCCUGCUUUUGUGGGGUGCUCGAGUGGCGAACGGGUGAGUAACACGUGAGUAACCUGCCCUUGACUUUGGGAUAACUUCAGGAAACUGGGGCUAAUACCGGAUAGGAGCUCCUGCUGCAUGGUGGGGGUUGGAAAGUUUCGGCGGUUGGGGAUGGACUCGCGGCUUAUCAGCUUGUUGGUGGGGUAGUGGCUUACCAAGGCUUUGACGGGUAGCCGGCCUGAGAGGGUGACCGGCCACAUUGGGACUGAGAAACGGCCCAGACUCCUACGGGAGACAGCAGUGGGGAAUAUUGCACAAUGGGCGGAAGCCUGAUGCAGCAACGCCGCGUGCGGGAUGACGGCCUUCGGGUUGUAAACCGCUUUCGCCUGUGACGAAGCGUGAGUGACGGUAAUGGGUAAAGAAGCACCGGCUAACUACGUG